RNAcentral lists this long non-coding RNA (793 nucleotides) under Homo sapiens (human). RNAcentral's name for it is "HSALNT0079073". The record is from RNAcentral. Lineage: Eukaryota; Metazoa; Chordata; Mammalia; Primates; Hominidae.
AUUUUUCAAACUGAAUCUUGAUUCAGUGUCUAGCAUGCCAUGGGGAAGGAGUGAAAACACACCCUGAUGAAAACCCAUCCAGAGUCAGCACAUUUGAGAAGUUCCACUGUGAGCAUCAAGAGCUCACCACCUCCAAAAGCACACGGCCUGGACAGCCACUCCCUGAAGCAAAUCUGCCAUGUAUCCAUAUAUUCAUGCUGUACUGGGAGAAACAGUUGGAUAGGGGCAUGGUGUUUGUCUUCACAAAGCUCACAGGACUGAGAUGAUGACGUAAGGAAGUAGUCACAAGGCAGUAUGGAUAGCAGGCAAGAACUGGGGUCCCGGGGCCGCACUGCCUGGAUUCCAAGCCUGAUUUUGCAUGCAUGACUUGAGACUUCAGGGGCAAGUCCAGCCAGUCAGCAAGCCACCUGAAUUUACAGGAGUGACAUUUCCACGUUAUUCAAAUUCAAAACAAGCCUACUCGGUGAACCUCAGCCCCAAGGAAUUCACAGUGCUCUACAUCGACUCCCAAUUUGCAAUUCUAGCAUCUCACUGAGACCAGGCAGUACAGAAAGAGACCUUGUGUUUUGUGACAAGUUCUUCUUUCAAGUCUUCAUGCUCAAAGAGAAUUGACUACAGAGUGUCAGGUGUCCUUCAGCUGAGAUUUAACAAGCAGUCAUCACAACUCCAUCUUUCUCCCUCACGAAACUGUUUCUCCUGAAUGCCCAUGAAAAUGUUAUCACAUAGGAAAUAUUUGUGAGACCUGAUCUCUAAUAAUUAUCAGCACUGAACGACUUUUGAAUGAAGAAAAUGG